Jimgerdemannia flammicorona is the source of this 82-nucleotide non-coding RNA. NCBI's taxonomy places the organism in Eukaryota, Fungi, Mucoromycota, Endogonomycetes, Endogonales, Endogonaceae. The record is from the annotation of a GenBank genome assembly.
GGCAAGAUGGCCGAGUGGUCUAAGGCGCUGCGUUUAGGCCGCAGUCUCGAAAGGGGCGUGGGUUCGAACCCCACUCUUGUCA